This 206-nucleotide ribosomal RNA is filed under the name Clostridioides difficile. RNAcentral describes it as "partial 23S ribosomal RNA". It matches the Rfam family "Bacterial large subunit ribosomal RNA", at positions 2666 to 2874 of the family's 2925-position model. The record is from RNAcentral. Lineage: Bacteria; Bacillati; Bacillota; Clostridia; Peptostreptococcales; Peptostreptococcaceae.
GAAGACCUGUCCUUAGUACGAGCGGACCGGGAUGGACGUACCUCUGGUGUACCAGUUGUCCUGCCAAGGGCAUGGCUGGGUAGCUAUGUACGGAAUGGAUAAGCGCUGAAAGCAUCUAAGCGCGAAGUCAACUUCAAGAUAAGAUUUCCCACCGCAAGGGUAAGACCCCAGAAAGACUAACUGGUUGAUAGGUCGAAGGUGUAAGU